This 767-nucleotide ribosomal RNA is filed under the name Isoptericola sp. RNAcentral's name for it is "bacterial SSU rRNA". It matches the Rfam family "Bacterial small subunit ribosomal RNA", at positions 80 to 860 of the family's 1533-position model. Lineage: Bacteria; Bacillati; Actinomycetota; Actinomycetes; Micrococcales; Promicromonosporaceae. The record is from RNAcentral.
UUGCUGGGUGGAUCAGUGGCGAACGGGUGAGUAACACGUGAGCAACCUGCCCUCCACUUCGGGAUAAGCCUUGGAAACGGGGUCUAAUACCGGAUAUGAGCCUGCAUCGCAUGGUGUGGGUUGGAAAGUUUUUCGGUGGGGGAUGGGCUCGCGGCCUAUCAGCUUGUUGGUGGGGUGAUGGCCUACCAAGGCGUCGACGGGUAGCCGGCCUGAGAGGGCGACCGGCCACACUGGGACUGAGACACGGCCCAGACUCCUACGGGAGGCAGCAGUGGGGAAUAUUGCACAAUGGGCGAAAGCCUGAUGCAGCGACGCCGCGUGAGGGAUGACGGCCUUCGGGUUGUAAACCUCUUUCAGCAGGGAAGAAGCGCAAGUGACGGUACCUGCAGAAGAAGCGCCGGCUAACUACGUGCCAGCAGCCGCGGUAAUACGUAGGGCGCAAGCGUUGUCCGGAAUUAUUGGGCGUAAAGAGCUCGUAGGCGGUCUGUCGCGUCUGGUGUGAAAUCCCGAGGCUCAACCUCGGGCUUGCAUCGGGUACGGGCAGACUAGAGUGCGGUAGGGGAGACUGGAAUUCCUGGUGUAGCGGUGGAAUGCGCAGAUAUCAGGAGGAACACCGAUGGCGAAGGCAGGUCUCUGGGCCGCAACUGACGCUGAGGAGCGAAAGCAUGGGGAGCGAACAGGAUUAGAUACCCUGGUAGUCCAUGCCGUAAACGUUGGGCACUAGGUGUGGGGCUCAUUCCACGAGUUCCGUGCCGCAGCUAACGCAU